UGCGGACUGUGACUUCAGCUGUGAUAGAGACUGCAUCAUAUUCUGCCAAAGAGGCUAUUAUUACAAUUCAGGAAACUGUCUGGAAUGUCCUGUGGGUUUUUACUGUUCAGGGGAAGGAACAUCUGCCCCAAGGAAAUGUCCUCCUGGUACCCAUAACUACUUCACCGGGAAAGCGGAUCUAAAAGCUUGCCUGCCUUGCCCUCCAGGCUCCAUCAGUACAGAGGAGGGAGCAGCCUGCAGGCCGUGCCCAGCCGGCGCCUCCUGUGAUCCAGGUUCCGGUGAGCUGAGGGCCUGCCCCCCGGGGCAGCACUCGCCCGAGGGGGUCCUGCACUGCCUGCCCUGCACUUGGGGCUUCGUCUGUCCUGAUGGCCACGUUAAAAAGAGCUGCCCCCCAGGACAGGAGCCCAACCCUUCCCAGUCUCGCUGCAUAGACUGCCCAGAAGGUCACUUCUCAUCAGUGGGGAGUGACAAGUGUCAGCUC
Molecule: long non-coding RNA, 481 nt
Organism: Polyodon spathula (Mississippi paddlefish)
Lineage: Eukaryota; Metazoa; Chordata; Actinopteri; Acipenseriformes; Polyodontidae
Exons: 4
Source: RefSeq, a predicted model, not a curated record